AGUCCGACACUUUUCAGAUGUGUCGACCAGUCACUAAUAUUGUAGCCAAUCCUAUCCAAACUUCAGGAACGCUACAUAUAAAUUACAGCCGUAUAAUUUUAAUUUUAAAUUAUCAUAAAAUAUAUUAAUUUUUAGCUAUUGGAUCUAAUUCAAUGACAGACGAUUUAAGUAUCUGUCACUUUUUUAUCUAAAUUACUCUUAGAC
RNAcentral lists this long non-coding RNA (204 nucleotides) under Ananas comosus (pineapple). RNAcentral's name for it is "long non-coding RNA (ACOM_LNC036566)". The record is from RNAcentral. Lineage: Eukaryota; Viridiplantae; Streptophyta; Magnoliopsida; Poales; Bromeliaceae.